RNAcentral lists this ribosomal RNA (468 nucleotides) under uncultured bacterium. Its description in RNAcentral is "partial 16S ribosomal RNA". It matches the Rfam family "Bacterial small subunit ribosomal RNA", at positions 28 to 507 of the family's 1533-position model. The record is from RNAcentral.
GACGAACGCUGGCGGCGUGCUUAACACAUGCAAGUCGAACGGAAAGGCCCUGCUUUUGUGGGGUGCUCGAGUGGCGAACGGGUGAGUAACACGUGAGUAACCUGCCCUUGGCUUUGGGGUAACUUAAGGGAACUGGGGCUAAUACCGGAUAGGAGCUCCUGCUGCAUGGUGGGGGUUGGAAAGUUUCGGCGGUUGGGGAUGGACUCGCGGCGUAUCAGCUUGUUGGUGGGGUAGUGGCUUACCAAGGCUUUGACGGGUAGCCGGCCUGAGAGGGUGACCGGCCACAUUGGGACUGAGAUACGGCCCAGACUCCUACGGGAGGCAGCAGUGGGGAAUAUUGCACAAUGGGCGGAAGCCUGAUGCAGCAACGCCGCGUGCGGGAUGACGGCCUUCGGGUUGUAAACCGCUUUCGCCUGUGACGAAGCGUGAGUGACGGUAAUGAGUAAAGAAGCACCGGCUAACUACGUG